RNAcentral lists this ribosomal RNA (496 nucleotides) under uncultured bacterium. Its description in RNAcentral is "partial 16S ribosomal RNA". It matches the Rfam family "Bacterial small subunit ribosomal RNA", at positions 28 to 506 of the family's 1533-position model. The record is from RNAcentral.
GAUGAACGCUGGCGGCGUGCCUAAUACAUGCAAGUCGAGCGAACAGACGAGGAGCUUGCUCCUCUGACGUUAGCGGCGGACGGGUGAGUAACACGUGGAUAACCUACCUAUAAGACUGGGAUAACUUCGGGAAACCGGAGCUAAUACCGGAUAAUAUAUUGAACCGCAUGGUUCAAUAGUGAAAGACGGUUUUGCUGUCACUUAUAGAUGGAUCCGCGCCGCAUUAGCUAGUUGGUAAGGUAACGGCUUACCAAGGCAACGAUGCGUAGCCGACCUGAGAGGGGGUCCGGCCCAACUGGAAAUGAGCACCGGCCCAACACCCUCCGGAGGGCAGCGGGGGGGAUUUUUCCGCAAGGGGGGAAAGCCUGACGGAGCAACGCCGGGGGGGGGAGGAAGGUCUUCGGAUCGUAAAACUUUGUUAUUGGGGAAAAACAAAUGUGUAAGUAACUAUGCACGUCUUGACGGUACCUAAGCAGAAAGCCACGGCUAACUACGU